ACCGCGGUGGUGCAGUGGUAGCACGCGUCAUCGGUGUGGAUGAAACGCGGAUUCGACUCCCGUCGCGAAUA
Parelaphostrongylus tenuis is the source of this 71-nucleotide non-coding RNA. Lineage: Eukaryota; Metazoa; Nematoda; Chromadorea; Rhabditida; Metastrongylidae. The record is from the annotation of a GenBank genome assembly.